ACACAUUCACACACACACACACACACACACACACACACCCAUCUCAGCCACACUUCGCGCGAAGCCAUGUCCGACAUCUUUCCCGAGUCACAUCCGGAGCAUCCGCUCAACCUCAUUCCGGAGCUCUGCCGCAAGUUUUACGACCUUGGCUGGGCCACCGGCACGGGCGGCGGCAUCUCCAUCAAGAUGGGCGAGAACUACUACAUCGCCCCUAGCGGUGUGCAGAAAGAACGCAUCAUGCCGAACGAGAUUUUCGUGCUGAACGCCAGCCAGGAUGUCGUCGAGGAGCCGCGCACGGAGAAGCAGCUAAAGAUAUCGGAGUGCACACCGCUGUUCUUCAACGCCUACCGCCUGCGCGGCGCUGGGGCGUGCCUGCACACGCACUCCGCCAACUGUGUCCUCAUCAGCCUCCUAUGCGACCGCGAGUUCCGCAUCUCCCACAUCGAGAUGAUCAAGGGCAUUAUCAACAACGAAACGAAGAAGGCGCUGGGCUUUCGCGAUACCCUCGUCGUCCCAAUCAUAGAAAAUACCGACUUUGAGAAGGACCUGACGGCCUCCAUGGCGGAGUGUAUGGAGAGGUACCCAGAGUCGUGCGCGGUGCUCGUGCGCCGGCAUGGCAUGUAUGUCUGGUCCGACACUUGGCAGAAGGCGAAGGGCGCAGUUGAGUGCAUCGACUACUUGAUGGGCCUGGCCAUCCGGAUGAGGACACUAGGUCUUGAGUGGGAGCCGAAGGACGCCAAAUAAGGACUCAAGCAACACAAUGGUGUAUUGCAUAAACGUAUACAACAAAACACACACCACACACACACAUAUAAACUUACGUAUAUGUAUGCGUGUGUGUGUCUUGUAUGCAUUUGCUUUUUUUUUGGAAAACGGUGGCGGGUGAGGUGUGCUGUGUGCGUGCGUGUGCGCUUACGGAAACUUGACGGACCGGCCGUUGCGAGAGAGGGACGUCUUUGCCCCUUGUAUCCGCCACACAGGCAUACGCACAGACGCCAGCGAGCGUCGCUGCUGCUCUCACUCCACCCGAGGAAAUCUGCCGCGCGCUUACCGACCGCCACCUGCACAUGUUCUGGUAACGGACAUGACAUGAG
This 1094-nucleotide unclassified non-coding RNA is filed under the name Leishmania donovani. Its description in RNAcentral is "gene:LdHU3.28.2570(CDS-product:methylthioribulose -1-phosphate_dehydratase_putative)". Lineage: Eukaryota; Euglenozoa; Kinetoplastea; Trypanosomatida; Trypanosomatidae. The record is from RNAcentral.